GAUGAACGCUGGCGGCGUGCCUAAUACAUGCAAGUCGAGCGAACAGACGAGGAGCUUGCUCCUCUGACGUUAGCGGCGGACGGGUGAGUAACACGUGGAUAACCUACCUAUAAGACUGGGAUAACUUCGGGAAACCGGAGCUAAUACCGGAUAAUAUAUUGAACCGCAUGGUUCAAUAGUGAAAGACGGUUUUGCUGUCACUUAUAGAUGGAUCCGCGCCGCAUUAGCUAGUUGGUAAGGUAACGGCUUACCAAGGCAACGAUGCGUAGCCGACCUGAGAGGGUGGUCGGCCACGUGGGAACUGAGCCACGGCCCAGCCCCCUACGGGAGGCAGCAGUGGGAAUUCUUCCGCAAUGGGCGAAAUCUUGACGGAGCAACCCCGCGGGAGUGAUGAAGUUUUUCGGUUCGUAAAACUCUUUUUUUAGGAAAAAAAAAAUGUGUAAGUAACUUUCCCCGUCUUGACGGUACCUAAUCAGAAAGCCCCGGCUAACUACGU
This 496-nucleotide ribosomal RNA is filed under the name uncultured bacterium. RNAcentral describes it as "partial 16S ribosomal RNA". It matches the Rfam family "Bacterial small subunit ribosomal RNA", at positions 28 to 506 of the family's 1533-position model. The record is from RNAcentral.